This 174-nucleotide ribosomal RNA is filed under the name uncultured bacterium. Its description in RNAcentral is "partial 16S ribosomal RNA". It matches the Rfam family "Bacterial small subunit ribosomal RNA", at positions 1325 to 1500 of the family's 1533-position model. The record is from RNAcentral.
GCUGGAAUUGCUGUAAUGGCAGGUCAGCAUACUGCCGUGAAUACGUUCCCGGGCCUUGUACACACCGCCCGUCACACCAUGAGAGUUGGGAAUACCCGAAGCCUGUGAGCUAACUUAUAGAGGCAGCAGUCGAAGGUAGAAUCAAUGAUUGGGGUGAAGUCGUAACAAGGUAUC